Molecule: long non-coding RNA, 623 nt
Organism: Pseudopipra pipra
Lineage: Eukaryota; Metazoa; Chordata; Aves; Passeriformes; Pipridae
Exons: 3
Source: RefSeq, a predicted model, not a curated record
GGCCCAGUGGUGUGGCAUCAUGACCAGUGCCAGGGUGGUUCCCUGGGGGUCCUUUCCCCCCGGCCCUGGCCCGGGGUCCGACACGAGACUGAAGCCGAGAUGGGCCCCUGGCCAAAAACAUGCAGCAGCCAGAGAGCAAGAGAGACACUCCCCAGGAGUUCUUCAACCAUGCCGCCUCCUCCCACCACAGAGGAGGGGUAGUGGAGCUGGCUGGACCCUGGGCAGCCCUGGCCCAGGAGGACACUGGGCUGGUAGCCAUGACUCUGAGCCGGCAGUAGGUCGGAGCAGAGAAGCAUCUGUGAAGAAGCAGCAGCAGCAUGCAGCAUGAAGCGAAGCAGAGAGAAAAGCCAAGCUGGAACGUUUUGAAGAUUGAGUUUCCCACAAGUCCUCCAGCUGACAGGUCGAGCAGACUGCAUCUGUGUUACCUAUGGAGAAAAUAAGUUCUUCUGGGUCAGAGCUGUCUCAAAUAGAAAAAAAAAUUUACUUGUUUUUUCUAAGACUUCUUGUAAUAUCAUCUAAAAAAUUAACACCUUCUUUAUUUGAACACAUAGAGGGAAAAAACCACUUUUUUUAAUUACUUUUGUGUAACACAAAUAAAGGAAGUUUUUUAUUGUUCAUGAUAA